RNAcentral lists this microRNA precursor (73 nucleotides) under Haemonchus placei. RNAcentral's name for it is "mir-1 microRNA precursor family". It matches the Rfam family "mir-1 microRNA precursor family". From Rfam's summary of the family: This family represents the microRNA (miRNA) mir-1 family. miRNAs are transcribed as ~70nt precursors (modelled here) and subsequently processed by the Dicer enzyme to give a ~22nt product. In this case the mature sequence comes from the 3' arm of the precursor. The extents of the hairpin precursors are not generally known and are estimated based on hairpin prediction. The record is from Rfam by way of RNAcentral. Lineage: Eukaryota; Metazoa; Nematoda; Chromadorea; Rhabditida; Trichostrongylidae.
CGCCGGGAGACUCUCCCCUUUACAUUUCAUAAGGAAAUUCCUUAUGAAAUGUAAAGGGGAGAGUCUUUCAGCU